RNAcentral lists this small nucleolar RNA (111 nucleotides) under Meriones unguiculatus (Mongolian gerbil). RNAcentral describes it as "Small nucleolar RNA SNORA17 (ENSMUGG00000005704.1)". It matches the Rfam family "Small nucleolar RNA SNORA17". From Rfam's summary of the family: snoRNA ACA 17 belongs to the H/ACA family of snoRNAs and is predicted to guide pseudouridylation of the 28S rRNA at positions U4659 and U4598. Lineage: Eukaryota; Metazoa; Chordata; Mammalia; Rodentia; Muridae. The record is from RNAcentral.
ACUGCCCCUAUAAACAUUGUGGGUGUGGCUGCUGUGUCAUAUCAGCAGGUAGCAGAGAGGAGAACAGGUAUGUGUUCUGACUUAUGAACGCCUGAUUAGUAGCUUAACAUU